RNAcentral lists this ribosomal RNA (460 nucleotides) under uncultured bacterium. RNAcentral describes it as "partial 16S ribosomal RNA". It matches the Rfam family "Bacterial small subunit ribosomal RNA", at positions 338 to 795 of the family's 1533-position model. The record is from RNAcentral.
CCUACGGGAGGCAGCAGUGAGGAAUCUUGGUCAAUGGGCGCGAGCCUGAACCAGCCAAGUAGCGUGAAGGAUGACUGCCCUACGGGUUGUAAACUUCUUUUAUAAAGGAAUAAAGUGAUGCACGUGUGCCUUUUUGUAUUUACUUUAUGAAUAAGGAUCGGCUAACUCCGUGCCAGCAGCCGCGGGAAUACGGAGGAUCCUAGCGUUCUCCGGAUUUAUUUGGUUUAAAGGGAGCGUAGAUGGGUUGUUAAGUCAGUUGUGAAAGUUUGCGGCUCAACCGUAAAAUUGCAAUUGAUACUGGCAGUCUUGAGUACAGUUGAGGUAGGCGGAAUUCGUGGUGUAGCGGUGAAAUGCUUAGAUAUCACGAAGAACUCCGAUUGCGAAGGCAGCUUACUAAACUGCCACUGACAUUGAUGCUCGAAAGUGUGGGUAUCAAACAGGAUUAGAUACCCGAGUAGUC